Molecule: ribosomal RNA, 1299 nt
Filed under: Trichobilharzia physellae
Lineage: Eukaryota; Metazoa; Platyhelminthes; Trematoda; Strigeidida; Schistosomatidae
Description: eukaryotic LSU rRNA
Rfam family: Eukaryotic large subunit ribosomal RNA
Source: RNAcentral
GGAUUCCCCUAGUAACUGCGAGUGAACAGGGAUUAGCCCAGCACCGAAGCCUGUGGUUAUUUGACUGCAAGGCAAUGUGGUGUUUAGGUUUGUUCUUGGCAUUACUGCUCUGCCCCAAGUCCAGCAAUGAGUACGGCAUACCGUUCUGGCCCAUAGAGGGUGAAAGGCCCGUGGGGGUAGAGACCAAGCAUGACAGUUUUGUCCAGAGCUUACCUUGGAGUCGGGUUGUUUGAGAAUGCAGCCCAAAGUGGGUGGUAAACUCCAUCCAAGGCUAAAUACUUGCACGAGUCCGAUAGUAAACAAGUACCGUGAGGGAAAGUUGAAAAGUACUUUGAAGAGAGAGUAAACAGUGCGUGAAACCGCUCAGAGGUAAACGGGUGGAGUUGAACUGCGAUCCUUGGGAAUUCAGCUGAUGAGCAUGAUUUGUGCUUGGGCAUAUUGACCGCCUUUCAGUGUCUGCUUAGCUGCGGGUGCCUGCCUCUGGUGGGUAUGUGUGGUGCGCUUAUCAUGUGCCGCACGCAUUGGAGGGUGUAUGAGUCUGCUUGUCGGUGCACUUUCUCAGGGUGUUCACCACGACCGGCACUGCUGUCUGUCUGCUUUGGUCAAACUGAUCAGGUCUGAUUAACGUUGGGCUUGGUUGGGGUGGCAGGUGACUCACUGGUCCAUUCUGUGGGCUAUGAGUGUUACUAGCCGGCUUUAGUGGAUCUGUACGGUGUGUCGGAGACGGCGGCUUUGCAUAUGCGCUCUGUCCUUCAGGCGUGGUUGAGUCUGGUCGACUUGUUGCUAGUUUCGGCUGGUCAGUUGAUGGCUUGAUCAUGUUCAGUUGGCAGUGGUGUGUGUGUCUUAGUUUGGGCCAAUAGUCUGUGGUGUUGUGGUAGACUAUCCACCUGACCCGUCUUGAAACACGGACCAAGGAGUUUAACAUGUGCGCGAGUCAUUGGGCUUUACGAAACCCAAAGGCGCAGUGAAGGUAAAGGCUUGGCUUGUCCAGGCUGAGGUGAGAUCCUGUUGUUUUGCUCAUUCAUUCCAAGCUGCGAGCAGCAGGCGCAUCACCGGCCCGUCCCAUGACGUAGACAUGUGGCCUUGUGCUAUGUGCACCGUCGGGGCGGAGCAAGAGCGUACAUGUUGAGACCCGAAAGAUGGUGAACUAUGCUUGCGAAGGUUGAAGCCAGAGGAAACUCUGGUGGAGGACCGUAGCGAUUCUGACGUGCAAAUCGAUCGUAUAACGUGAGUAUAGGGGCGAAAGACUAAUCGAACCAUCUAGUAGCUGGUUCCCUCCGAAGUUUCCCUCAGGAUAGC